AACGCGAAGAACCUUACCAAGGCUUGACAUACGCCGGAAACUGGUAGAGAUAUCAGCCCCCUUGUGGUCGGUGUACAGGUGGUGCAUGGUUGUCGUCAGCUCGUGUCGUGAGAUGUUGGGUUAAGUCCCGCAACGAGCGCAACCCUUGUUCUGUGUUGCCAGCGAGUAAUGUCGGGGACUCACAGGAGACUGCCGGGGUCAACUCGGAGGAAGGUGGGGACGACGUCAAAUCAUCAUGCCCCUUAUGUCUUGGGCUGCACACGUGCUACAAUGGCCGGUACAAAGGGCUGCGAUGCCGCGAGGCGGAGCGAAUCCCAAAAAGCCGGUCUCAGUUCGGAUUGGGGUCUGCAACUCGACCCCAUGAAGUUGGAGUUGCUAGUAAUCGCAGAUCAGCAUGCUGCGGUGAAUACGUUCCCGGGCCUUGUACACACCG
RNAcentral lists this ribosomal RNA (433 nucleotides) under Kitasatospora sp. zong25-3. RNAcentral's name for it is "bacterial SSU rRNA". It matches the Rfam family "Bacterial small subunit ribosomal RNA", at positions 958 to 1392 of the family's 1533-position model. The record is from RNAcentral. Lineage: Bacteria; Bacillati; Actinomycetota; Actinomycetes; Kitasatosporales; Streptomycetaceae.